Molecule: ribosomal RNA, 402 nt
Filed under: uncultured bacterium
Lineage: Bacteria
Description: bacterial SSU rRNA
Rfam family: Bacterial small subunit ribosomal RNA
Source: RNAcentral
UGGGGAAUAUUGGACAAUGGGGGCAACCCUGAUCCAGCCAUGCCACGUGAGUGAUGAAGGCCUUCGGGUUGUAAAGCUCUUUUGGCGGGGACGAUGAUGACGGUACCCGCAGAAUAAGCCCCGGCUAACUUCGUGCCAGCAGCCGCGGUAAGACGAAGGGGGCAAGCGUUGUUCGGAAUUACUGGGCGUAAAGGGCGCGUAGGCGGUUUGCUUAGUCAGGCGUGAAAGCCCUGGGCUUAACCUGGGAUGUGCGCUUGAUACUGGCAGGCUUGAGUGUGGGAGAGGUUGGUGGAAUUCCCAGUGUAGAGGUGAAAUUCGUAGAUAUUGGGAAGAACACCGGUGGCGAAGGCGGCCAACUGGACCACAACUGACGCUGAGGCGCGAAAGCGUGGGGAGCAAACA